GAUGAACGCUAGCGAUAGGCUUAACACAUGCAAGUCGAGGGGCAGCGAGGGUAGCAAUACCUGUCGGCGACCGGCGCACGGGUGAGUAACGCGUAUGUAACCUGCCCGCAACAGGGGGAUAACCCGGCGAAAGUCGGACUAAUACCGCAUAAAACAGGGGUCCCGCAUGGGAAUAUUUGUUAAAGAUUUAUCGGUUGCGGAUGGGCAUGCGUACCAUUAGGUAGUUGGUGAGGUAACGGCUCACCAAGCCCUCGAUGGUUAGGGGUUCUGAGAGGAAGGUCCCCCACACUGGUACUGAGACACGGACCAGACUCCUACGGGAGGCAGCAGUGAGGAAUAUUGGUCAAUGGGCGAGAGCCUGAACCAGCCAAGUCGCGUGAAGGAUGACUGCCCUAUGGGUUGUAAACUUCUUUUACAAAGGGAAUAAAAUGAAGAUACGUGUAAUUUAAUUG
RNAcentral lists this ribosomal RNA (452 nucleotides) under Tannerella forsythia. RNAcentral describes it as "bacterial SSU rRNA". It matches the Rfam family "Bacterial small subunit ribosomal RNA", at positions 28 to 475 of the family's 1533-position model. The record is from RNAcentral. Lineage: Bacteria; Pseudomonadati; Bacteroidota; Bacteroidia; Bacteroidales; Tannerellaceae.